Molecule: ribosomal RNA, 693 nt
Filed under: Triticum aestivum (bread wheat)
Lineage: Eukaryota; Viridiplantae; Streptophyta; Magnoliopsida; Poales; Poaceae
Description: partial small subunit ribosomal RNA
Source: RNAcentral
AUGGCUCUCCAGAUCAGCAAGAAGCGAAAGUUCGUCGCCGACGGCGUGUUCCUGGCCGAGCUGAACGAGAUGCUGACCCGCGAGCUCGGGGAGGACGGCUUCGCCGGCGUCGAGAUCCGGGUCACCCCCAUGCGCACCGAGAUCAUCAUCCGCGCCACCCGCACCCAGAACGUCCUCGGCGAGAAGGGCCGGAGGAUAAGGGAGCUGACUUCGGUGGUGCAGAAGCGCUUCAACUUUCCGGACGGCGGUGUGGAGCUCUACGCCGAGAAGGUCCUGAACCGCGGCCUCUGCGCCGUCGCUCAGGCCGAGUCCCUCCGCUACAAGCUGCUCGGUGGCCUCGCCGUCCGAAGAGCAUGCUAUGGUGUACUCCGAUUUGUCAUGGAGAGUGGUGCGAAGGGCUGUGAGGUUAUUGUGAGUGGGAAGCUUAGGGCACAGCGUGCUAAGUCCAUGAAGUUCAAAGAUGGCUAUAUGAUCUCUUCUGGCCAUCCUGUCAACCAGUAUAUUGAUGGAGCUGUGAGGCAUGUUCUUCUGAGACAGGGUGUGCUGGGUAUCAAGGUUAAGAUCAUGCUUGACUGGGAUCCCAAGGGGAAACAAGGACCAUCUACACCUUUGCCUGACCUUGUUACCAUCCACCCUCCUAAGGAUGAGGAUGAGUUCCUGAGACCUCUUGCAGCAGAAAUUGCAGUUGCUUAA